AAACUUUUAACAAUGGAUCUCUUGGCUCUUGCAUCGAUGAAGAACGCAGUGAAAUGCGAAAUUUAAUGCGAUUUGCAUGAAUCUGUGAGUCAUCAAGUCUUUGAACGCACCUUGCACUCUGCUUCUGGCAGAGUAUGCCUGUUUGAGAAUCAUA
RNAcentral lists this ribosomal RNA (154 nucleotides) under uncultured fungus. Its description in RNAcentral is "5.8S ribosomal RNA". It matches the Rfam family "5.8S ribosomal RNA". Rfam says of the family: 5.8S ribosomal RNA (5.8S rRNA) is a component of the large subunit of the eukaryotic ribosome. It is transcribed by RNA polymerase I as part of the 45S precursor that also contains 18S and 28S rRNA. Lineage: Eukaryota; Fungi. The record is from RNAcentral.